UACGUAGGUGGUAAGCGUUAUCCGGAUUUAUUGGGCGUAAAGGGAACGCAGGCGGUCUUUUAAGUCUGAUGUGAAAGCCUUCGGCUUAACCGGAGUAGUGCAUUGGAAACUGGGAGACUUGAGUGCAGAAGAGGAGAGUGGAACUCCAUGUGUAGCGGUGAAAUGCGUAGAUAUAUGGAAGAACACCAGUGGCGAAAGCGGCUCUCUGGUCUGUAACUGACGCUGAGGUUCGAAAGCGUGGGUAGCAAACAGG
RNAcentral lists this ribosomal RNA (253 nucleotides) under uncultured bacterium. Its description in RNAcentral is "partial 16S ribosomal RNA". It matches the Rfam family "Bacterial small subunit ribosomal RNA", at positions 524 to 776 of the family's 1533-position model. The record is from RNAcentral.